RNAcentral lists this ribosomal RNA (265 nucleotides) under uncultured archaeon. RNAcentral's name for it is "partial 16S ribosomal RNA". It matches the Rfam family "Archaeal small subunit ribosomal RNA", at positions 717 to 982 of the family's 1478-position model. The record is from RNAcentral.
ACACGACUACAUUAGAUACCCCUGUAGUCCUAGCCGUAAACGAUACUCGCUAGGUGUCGGCCACGGUGCGACCGUUGUCGGUGCCGUAGGGAAGCCGUGAAGCGAGCCACCUGGGAAGUACGGCCGCAAGGCUGAAACUUAAAGGAAUUGGCGGGGGAGCACCACAACGGGUGGAGCUUGCGGUUUAAUUGGAUUCAACGCCGGAAAUCUUACCGGGACCGACAGCAACAUGGAGGCCAGGCUGAAGACUUUGCCGGAUUAGCUG